CUUGGAAGUCAAUGACUGUGUC
RNAcentral lists this microRNA (22 nucleotides) under Heligmosomoides polygyrus. Its description in RNAcentral is "hpo-miR-10116-5p". Lineage: Eukaryota; Metazoa; Nematoda; Chromadorea; Rhabditida; Heligmosomidae. The record is from miRBase by way of RNAcentral.